RNAcentral lists this long non-coding RNA (411 nucleotides) under Mus musculus (house mouse). Its description in RNAcentral is "long non-coding RNA chr11:58961811-58962222". Lineage: Eukaryota; Metazoa; Chordata; Mammalia; Rodentia; Muridae. The record is from RNAcentral.
AUGGCACGCACCAAGCAGACGGCACGGAAGUCGACGGGAGGCAAGGCUCCGCGCAAGCAGCUAGCCACGAAGGUGGCCCGCAAGAGCGCCCCGGCCACCGGGGGCGUGAAGAAGCCGCACCGCUACCACCCUGGCACGGUGGCGCUGCGCGAGAUCCGGCGCUACCAGAAGUCCACCGAGCUGCUGAUUCGCAAGUUGCCAUUCCAGCGCUUGGUGCGUGAGAUCGCCCAGGACUUCAAGACCGACCUGCGCUUCCAGAGCUCCGCGGUGAUGGCGCUGCAGGAGGCCUGCGAGUCGUACCUCGUGGGGCUGUUCGAAGACACGAACCUGUGCGCUAUCCACGCCAAGCGGGUGACCAUCAUGCCCAAAGACAUCCAGUUGGCUCGGCGCAUCCGCGGAGAACGGGCUUAG